This 127-nucleotide small RNA is filed under the name Pseudomonas massiliensis. The record is from RNAcentral. Lineage: Bacteria; Pseudomonadati; Pseudomonadota; Gammaproteobacteria; Pseudomonadales; Pseudomonadaceae.
GUGUCUAGGGACAGACACAGGCCGCCAGGAAGGUAGCCAGGACAUCGCAUGAUGCGAUUCAUCAGGACGAUGUAGGAAGCACAAGGACCAGGGACGACGAUACGGGGGGGGUUAACCCCCCCUUUUU